CCUACGGAGGCUGCAGUGGGGAAUAUUGGACAAUGGGCGAAAGCCUGAUCCAGCCAUGCCGCGUGUGUGAAGAAGGCCUUCGGGUUGUAAAGCACUUUCAGUGGGGAAGAAAGCCUUGGGGCUAAUACCCUCGAGGAAGGACAUCACCCACAGAAGAAGCACCGGCUAACUCCGUGCCAGCAGCCGCGGUAAUACGGAGGGUGCGAGCGUUAAUCGGAAUUACUGGGCGUAAAGCGCGCGUAGGCGGUCUGAUAAGCCGGUUGUGAAAGCCCCGGGCUCAACCUGGGAACGGCAUCCGGAACUGUCAGGCUAGAGUGCAGGAGAGGAAGGUAGAAUUCCCGGUGUAGCGGUGAAAUGCGUAGAGAUCGGGAGGAAUACCAGUGGCGAAGGCGGCCUUCUGGACUGACACUGACGCUGAGGUGCGAAAGCGUGGGUAGCAAACAGGAUUAGAUACCCGGGUAGUC
This 464-nucleotide ribosomal RNA is filed under the name Vreelandella stevensii. RNAcentral's name for it is "partial 16S ribosomal RNA". It matches the Rfam family "Bacterial small subunit ribosomal RNA", at positions 338 to 795 of the family's 1533-position model. Lineage: Bacteria; Pseudomonadati; Pseudomonadota; Gammaproteobacteria; Oceanospirillales; Halomonadaceae. The record is from RNAcentral.